UAGCUUAGUGGUAGAGUGCUUGCCUAGCAUGCAGAAGGCCUUGGGUUCAAUCCCCAG
RNAcentral lists this transfer RNA (57 nucleotides) under Urocitellus parryii (Arctic ground squirrel). RNAcentral's name for it is "Spermophilus parryii (Arctic ground squirrel) tRNA". It matches the Rfam family "tRNA", at positions 8 to 63 of the family's 71-position model. From Rfam's summary of the family: Transfer RNA (tRNA) molecules are approximately 80 nucleotides in length. Their secondary structure includes four short double-helical elements and three loops (D, anti-codon, and T loops). Further hydrogen bonds mediate the characteristic L-shaped molecular structure. tRNAs have two regions of fundamental functional importance: the anti-codon, which is responsible for specific mRNA codon recognition, and the 3' end, to which the tRNAs corresponding amino acid is attached (by aminoacyl-tRNA synthetases). tRNAs cope with the degeneracy of the genetic code in two manners: having more than one tRNA (with a specific anti-codon) for a particular amino acid; and 'wobble' base-pairing, i.e. permitting non-standard base-pairing at the 3rd anti-codon position. Lineage: Eukaryota; Metazoa; Chordata; Mammalia; Rodentia; Sciuridae. RNAcentral also lists the same sequence under 1 other name. The record is from Rfam by way of RNAcentral.